RNAcentral lists this ribosomal RNA (377 nucleotides) under uncultured bacterium. RNAcentral describes it as "bacterial SSU rRNA". It matches the Rfam family "Bacterial small subunit ribosomal RNA", at positions 523 to 898 of the family's 1533-position model. The record is from RNAcentral.
AUACGUAGGGGGCGAGCGUUGUCCGGAAUUACUGGGCGUAAAGGGCGUGUAGGCGGCCUGUUAAGUCAGGCGUGAAAACCCCGGGCUUAACCUGGGGACUGCGUUUGAAACUGGCGGGCUUGAGGGCAGGAGAGGAAAGUGGAAUUCCCGGUGUAGCGGUGAUAUGCGUAGAUACCGGGAGGAACACCAGUGGCGAAGGCGGCUUUCUGGACUGCACCUGACGCUGAGGCGCGAAAGCCAGGGGAGCGAACGGGAUUAGAUACCCCGGUAGUCCUGGCCGUAAACGAUGGGUACUAGGUGUGGGAGGUUUCGACUCCUUCCGUGCCGGAGUUAACACAAUAAGUACCCCGCCUGGGGAGUACGGCCGCAAGGCUGAA